UGGGGAAUCUUGCACAAUGGGGGAAACCCUGAUGCAGCGACGCCGCGUGAACGAUGAAGCACUUCGGGGUGUAAAGUUCUUUCGACAGGAACGAUAAUGACGGUACCUACAGAAGAAGCACCGGCUAACUCUGUGCCAGCAGCCGCGGUAAUACAGAGGGUGCAAGCGUUAAUCGGAAUUACUGGGCGUAAAGGGCGCGUAGGUGGUUAAUUAAGUCAGAUGUGAAAUCCCCGGGCUUAACCUGGGAAUUGCAUUUGAAACUGAUUGGCUAGAGUACGGGAGAGGGAAGUGGAAUUUCCGGUGUAGCGGUGAAAUGCGUAGAUAUCGGAAGGAACACCAGUGGCGAAGGCGACUUCCUGGCCCGUUACUGACACUGAGGCGCGAAAGCGUGGGGAGCGAACAG
RNAcentral lists this ribosomal RNA (403 nucleotides) under uncultured bacterium. Its description in RNAcentral is "bacterial SSU rRNA". It matches the Rfam family "Bacterial small subunit ribosomal RNA", at positions 355 to 775 of the family's 1533-position model. The record is from RNAcentral.